UGGCGGACGGGUGAGUAAUGUCUGGGAAACUGCCCGAUGGAGGGGGAUAACUACUGGAAACGGUAGCUAAUACCGCAUAACGUCGCAAGACCGAAGAGGGGGACCUUAGGGCCUCUUGCCAUCGGAUGUGCCCAGAUGGGAUUAGCUAGUAGGUGGGGUAACGGCUCACCUAGGCGACGAUCCCUAGCUGGUCUGAGAGGAUGACCAGCCACACUGGAACUGAGACACGGUCCAG
RNAcentral lists this ribosomal RNA (235 nucleotides) under uncultured bacterium. RNAcentral's name for it is "partial 16S ribosomal RNA". It matches the Rfam family "Bacterial small subunit ribosomal RNA", at positions 96 to 334 of the family's 1533-position model. The record is from RNAcentral.